This 35-nucleotide small RNA is filed under the name Escherichia coli. RNAcentral's name for it is "RNA42_SPACER4". The record is from RNAcentral. Lineage: Bacteria; Pseudomonadati; Pseudomonadota; Gammaproteobacteria; Enterobacterales; Enterobacteriaceae.
AUAAACCGUUUGGAUCGGGUCUGGAAUUUCUGAGC